Molecule: ribosomal RNA, 497 nt
Filed under: uncultured bacterium
Lineage: Bacteria
Description: partial 16S ribosomal RNA
Rfam family: Bacterial small subunit ribosomal RNA
Source: RNAcentral
GAUGAACGCUGGCGGCGUGCCUAAUACAUGCAAGUCGAGCGAACAGAUGAGGAGCUUGCUCCUCUGACGUUAGCGGCGGACGGGUGAGUAACACGUGGAUAACCUACCUAUAAGACUGGGAUAACUUCGGGAAACCGGAGCUAAUACCGGAUAAUAUAUUGAACCGCAUGGUUCAAUAGUGAAAGACGGUUUUGCUGUCACUUAUAGAUGGAUCCGCGCCGCAUUAGCUAGUUGGUAAGGUAACGGCUUACCAAGGCAACGAUGCGUAGCCGACCUGAGAGGGUGAUCGGCCACACUGGAACUGAGACACGGUCCAGACUCCUACGGGAGGCAGCAGUAGGGAAUCUUCCGCAAUGGGCGAAAGCUUGACGGAGCAACGCCGCGUGAGUGAUGAAGGUCUUCGGAUCGUAAAACUCUGUUAUUAGGGAAGAACAAAUGUGUAAGUAACUAUGCACGUCGUGACGGUACCUAAUCAGAAAGCCACGGCUAACUACGUG